CAGAUAAGAUCUAUCGCAAAAAAGGACCGUGAUGUUAUGUAGAAAGGACAAAAUCCUUUGUCUCUUUUGUCCGUGCAUAUAAGGAGCAUAAUUGCUCCUUCAUUUUCAGGUGGAAAGUCAGGGAUGGGAUAUGGUUUACUACAACAUUGAUUAUAAUAUUAUGGCCUUAUAUACCAGAGUCGUAUGUUGCCACAAAGUUGGGCGAGGAACUAUCACGACUGCUCUUUCUCUUGUGGCUGUUAGUCCGGUCGUGUUUAAUUUUCCUGAACUUAGCCAUGUAAAUUUUUAUUUCUUAGCCAUGAAUUCUAUAUAUGUAACCCACAUCAAGUAAUUAGUCGUGUUUCUUAUUAUGUAUGGAGUACUAUAUUCAUACUUUUAACUAUUUCUAUGGUAAUUAGGC
Long non-coding RNA from Spinacia oleracea (spinach), 400 nucleotides. RefSeq lists it as uncharacterized. The record is from RefSeq and is a predicted model, not a curated record. The transcript is spliced from 3 exons. NCBI's taxonomy places the organism in Eukaryota, Viridiplantae, Streptophyta, Magnoliopsida, Caryophyllales, Amaranthaceae.